CCCUUAGAUGUUCUGGGCCGCACGCGCGCUACACUGACGAUGGCAACGAGUUUUUCCUUCGCCGAAAGGUGUGGGUAAUCUUUUGAAACAUCGUCGUGCUGGGGAUAGAUCAUUGCAAUUUUUGAUCUUGAACGAGGAAUUCCUAGUAAGCGCGAGUCAUCAGCCCGCGCUGAAUACGUCCCUGCCCUUUGUACACACCGCCCGUCGCUCCUACCGAUUGAGUGGUCCGGUGAGGCUUUGGGAUCUGAGCGGAAAGAGCGUUUCGCUGUUUCUGCUCGGAAAACUCAGUCGAACCUUAUCAUUUAGAGGAAGGAGAAGUCGUAACA
RNAcentral lists this ribosomal RNA (326 nucleotides) under uncultured eukaryote. RNAcentral's name for it is "partial 18S ribosomal RNA". It matches the Rfam family "Eukaryotic small subunit ribosomal RNA", at positions 1470 to 1796 of the family's 1831-position model. The record is from RNAcentral.